UGAUAUUUGUCUCCUUAGAUACAAGCCCUGCUAAAGCUUAAAAAUCUGGAUCCAGAAAUAUGCAACGUUGUCCAGAUUCACGCAGCCUUUUUUGACAGAGGAUAUUUCUGUUUCGUCUUUGAGUACCUGGACAAAAGUCUCUUUGACUACAUGGCGGAGAACGAUUUUCGUCCUCUGCCUCUAGAGGGAAUCCGAUUAAUUGUCCAACAGGUAUGUCUCGCUGCACUUCCUUUUUCAUUAAUAGCCCCUUGGUCUAAUGUUGAAAAAGUAUUGUGAAAGUGUUUUAUUCGCUUUAAGCUUGCAGUUGCACUUCAAUCUCUGAGGAGUGUGGGACUAACACACUGUGAUAUAAAGCUGGACAAUAUUAUGCUAGUGGACCAUGAAAAGCAACCCUUCAGAAUCAAACUUAUCGACUUUGGUCUUGCAGACGUUGCAUCCAGUAUACCACAGGGCUCAGUUAUACAGGCCCUCUGUUACAGGCAAUUAUUUUGCAAAUGUUUAAAAUCAUGGAAAUCUAUAAGUAACCAAGUGUAAAAAGCAAAGUAACACCCUUUUAUAGGUCUCCAGAGGUCCUUUUGGGUCUUCCGUUGACAGAGGCUGUCGACAUGUGGUCUCUGGGCUGUGUGGUUGGAGAGUUACACCUUGGGGAUCGGCUCUUUGAUGGGAACAAUGAGUAUGACAUGGUAAGUAUAUUUGUAGUUUACUUCAUUCUUUUCUUUGAACUUUUCUGUAACGUAAACUUUUUUUUGGUGAAUAUUGUGACGUGGUGUUUUCUUUACCCACAGAUGAGGAGCAUUGUGGAACUAUUAGGUCAACCUCCGAAUCGAAUGCUAGAUGCAGGCAUAAAAACUAAUCAAUACUUUAAGAAAAGCUUGUGCCCAUGGAAUCGAUCAUGGAAACUAAAGACACACCUCAGAACAGCAGGUCAUAAGCUUCUGGAUUCUCUGGAUGACAUUUUAAGCGCCUUCCGCACUAAAGGCUGCGAAAAUCCAGACCUCAGUCUGUUUGUUGACAUGUUAAAGAAAAUGCUUGACCUUGAUCCUGCAACGCGCAUUACCCCAGCUCAACUGUUGCAACAUGGUUUUCUGACAAACACUGAGUAAGUCUACACAAAGAUCAUUCGUUUCAGUCCUAAAACCCUUGAUUUAUCCAUUUGAAAAAAUUGCAGGAUCUCAGGUAAUUUUUUAAGUCAAGUAUUUGUUGUCUUGAAGGGUGGGGACUACCUGUGAAGAGCCAGAGGUUACUGCCAGCAAGAAAAAUGGACAGUCUUUACAGUCGCAGUGGGAAAACACCCAGCACAACCAAGCAAGCCAGUUAAAAACAGGGCAGAAAAGAAAGCAUGACUAUAAAGAUGAUGACCCAACUUGUCAUGACUCCAAGCGGCCUAAAAUUCAGUCAAGGGUGACACCAAGGAAGGACACACAAAUGAAUGCUGUGAAUUCCACUGUUCAGAGGAAGCUGCCUGAUGGGAAGGAUGGUGGGCCUCAUUGCUCCACCUCGAUGGCUGUGCCCAAGUUCAGCCAACAAGCUUUGAAAAGAAGAAGGAAAUGCACAGGCAGGAAAGGAAAGAAAAAGUAACUGACUCCCUGAACACAUAUGUUGUGGGUACAGUCCCAUCUGGUCUUUCAAUCACAUAUUCACCGUGAAUUAUAAUAAAGGAAGCUGAUUUCGUUGUGUUAAACAUUAGUUUUGUUUUUUCA
Molecule: long non-coding RNA, 1700 nt
Organism: Takifugu rubripes (torafugu)
Lineage: Eukaryota; Metazoa; Chordata; Actinopteri; Tetraodontiformes; Tetraodontidae
Source: Ensembl